Molecule: long non-coding RNA, 3763 nt
Organism: Nycticebus coucang (slow loris)
Lineage: Eukaryota; Metazoa; Chordata; Mammalia; Primates; Lorisidae
Exons: 3
Source: RefSeq, a predicted model, not a curated record
UGCCCACUAAUAUUCUGAAAUUAAAAAUGUCAAAAAUAUUUUUAAAAAGUAUUUUCUUUAUUAAAAAUAUGUGUUCACUGGGAAAUAGUAGACAGAUAAAUAGAAGAAAGAGAAUUUAAAGUACUUCCACAAAAAACCAGACCAGUGGUUGGGUUUGGGGACUGGGGCGAGUAGAAUUUAUUAAAGGGGGCAUGAAGUAACUUUUGGGGGGCAUGCAAAUGUUCAAUGUUUUCAUUGUGGCCGUGGCUUUUGUUCCAAAUGUGUAUACAUUGUCCAAAUUCAUCAAACUGUACAAUAGUGUAAUGGGUAUGUGUUAUUGUAAGUAAAUUAUACCUCUACAAAAUCAGUUAAUUCCUUUUCAAAAUACUUGUUGUCACCCAUACACAAUUUCUGUUAAUAUCCGUAGGCACACUUUUUAAAAUGUUUUCUAUACAUUUAUUUGUACACGUAUCUGAGUUUUUACACAAAGAAUGGUGUCAUUUUUUAUCAACUGUAACUAGUUUUUACCGAUUUCAAUUUUCUACUCUCUUAUCUGAAGGAUUUUGCCCCCCAAAGCAACUGUCCCCACAUAGCUCAUUACAUGACGUCCAAGGAGGGCAAGAGCUUUGGACUAAAGGCGAGAGAAGAUGAAAAAGACUGAAGAUAUGAGAAGGGAGAGAGAAACGGGGAAGCUAUUUUGACUUUUCCAGCCUCCAGGGCCUCAUUAUUGAUGAUUUAACAACAUUACACCAGUAAGCAGCAGGGUCUUGCUAUAUGAACAUUGGAUCACAACAUUUGCUGUGGGUAAUUUAAAGGCAACUGACUGCAAACCCACCCCCUAGUUGCUCCUGCCAAUACCCUUGACUUCCACACACCUGCUUCUGAAAAUGUCAUUCCACCUGUGUGUUGUGCGUUACACAACCCUCUGUAUCUGAGGUCUUGCCAGACACGUUAAAGGAGAGGACAACAGAACAUUCUGACCACUUCCUCCAAAGCUAUCAUUUUCCGGGGGGGGGGGGGAGGAGGAGUUGUAUAGUAAUUCUUUUUUAUUUUUUUGCAGUUUUUGGCCAGAGCCAGGUUUGAACCCGCCACCUCCUGUAUGGGGCCUGUACCCUACUUCUUUGAGCCACAGGUAGCGCCCAGUUGUAUAGUAAUUCUGAAUCCCUGAGAGCCAGCUCCCUCUUAUCUCAAUCUUAUGCCCCAGGAAUAAGGAAGGAGCCAGAUGUUCAGGCAAAAUCAGUCCUACAGUUACUACUGAUGUCAGGCUAAGGUCCCAUCAGCAGCGUCGCUCCGGCUCUGGCUCCGGCUCCUGCUCCUGGGGGCACACGUGUGCGUGUGUGUGCAGGUGGGCUCGUCAGCUGAAAGGUAGUGCUUCCUCGUGGAGGAGUUAGACAUAGGUUCCGCCCAUUACCAAAGGAUAAUCUCUCUUUGGGAUAGCUGGUUCCCAGAGAGCAGGGAAAGAAGCUGUGAAAAUCUAGUCACAUUUGCCAGAGACAAAACUAUUUGGCUCCACAGGCAGACAAACAAAAACAAAAACAAAACAUGGGCCCAAUUCUCCUGACAGCUCCAUUCUACACACCUCUGUGAGGAGGAGGAGGGCCUGGUGACCAGAAGAGACUGCUCCACGCUGUGGGGCUUGCUAGUUGUGCCCUUAUAUCCAAGAAAUCAGACUUUGCCACCAACCUCAGUCCACUCCUGGGCCCAGCUGGGGACCUGGGGACAGAAAGAUCCAAGCAACUUUGGGUCAGGGCUCUGCAGAAAGGCACCUAAGUGGCUGAACAGGCUGUCCCUGUGUCUGUGGCUGCACUCUGUUCUCAGGUCCUCAACCAGAAGGUUUUUACAAAGCGAAGGCUAUACAUAGGAAGCAGGAAGUCUCUGGGCACAUGGGCAAAGCGGAGAAGUAGCACAUGACAUGGCGGAAGACAGCGGAACUCUAAAAGCCCAGCUGUCUGGAGCCACUUAGCAUGGACCUCUGUAGCUCCUGUGGACCUAGAGAUGGUGUAGUGCAGGACACUGAUUGAUGUUCAAAGUGAGUCAUCAAGAAAAGGUCAAAUUGUAUUCAGAACCUUUUAAGAAAGCAAAGUACUAUGUAAAACAUUUCAGAAAAAUCACUUUCCAAAAUGAAAUUUUUUAAUUGGCAUUUAAGUUUGGGCUAUAUUAUGUUGGUCUAAUAGUACCUCUACUUAAGAUAUUAAAUAUAUUCCAAUACUAAAAAUCCUUUCCAGAAAGAAUUGGUUUUUUUAUUUUAUUUUAUUUUUUUUUUGGUAGAGACAGUUUCACUUUGUCACCCUCUGUGCCGUGGCAUCACAGCUCACAGCAACCUCCAGUUCCUGGGCCUAGGCGAUUCUCCUGCCUUAGCCUCCCAAGUAGCUGGGACUACAGGCGCCCACCACAAGGACCGGCUAUUUUUUUGUUGCAGUUCAGCCAGGGCCGGGUUUGAACCUGCCACCCUCAGUAUAUGGGGCCAGCACCCUACUCACUGAGCCACAGGAGCUGCCCAAGAAUUGGUUUUUGUUUGGAUGUUGUUACUGAUAUAUAAAUACAUUUACAUGCAUACAUACACACACUUGUGCACGCACGCACACACACACACACACACACACACACGUAUGUAUGAUUUAAUCAUAUCCCACUGCUGGUUAUUUUAGAUCCCAUGGUUUCCUACCUCUGCCAGGACCAGAAACCAUUAUCUAUCUCCUCCCACAUCUUCAGCCACUUGCCAGAGAGAUCUUUCUCUUCACUGUAUACCCAGAUUCAAGUUCCCCCACCCUGAAAACAAAACCCUCACCACCACUGUCCUGGAAAUCUAGCACUAUGAGGCCCUGGUCCUGGUGUGCAGCCCCCAAACCUCUUUACCUCUACUCUUACCAGCUCCCCCUCCAGUAAGGGGGAGAGAAACAAGACAAUUUCUACCAAUUGAGGACACCCCUCUACAAACCAUAGCACAACUUACUUCUAGGCUUGUGACUGGGAGCCUACGAGUCUUCACCUCCUCAGCCUUGAAAGACUUCAGGGGACCUAAAAGUUCCAGCCCAGAUGUUUAGCCACCUGUCCCCCACAGCUGCUAUAUCUGGGCUACAUCUUGAGGAAAAACUGAAGGUGUAUUUCAGUGUGUGACAUCUAUAAGAGAAGAAAUCACAGUGCAAAGAGUUACAUUUGAUGCUUUGUCCAAGACCCCAGAGUGGAAUCCGGAUAAGACGCUGGCUGACUCUUCUUUUUUGCAAAGCUGCCAGGCGGGCUUGACAGGCUGAGAACAUCAUCUCCCCAUUUCAAUCGCCUUCAAUCAAUUUACUCCAACAAAAGGUCAUUUUAGACAGAAAUCCAGUUUGACUGAUUUCUCUCACUGUAUUGACCAGUUUAAAUAAAAUGAGCAAACCAGCGUCUUUGUUUCCGCGUCACACAGCCACAGCCUACAGACUAACCAGGCACGGUAACUCCAGCUCCCUGGCGAUUUGAAACCCCAUCUCCUGGAUUAAACACCUCUCUCUAAUUAGAAAGUGACUUAAGGAAAGGACAGAAAAGAUAAGAAGACAGCAGAUGACCUCUUCCAAAGCAAACACUUUUCAAUUAUGAAGGCUAAAAAAAGCUGUGUUUAAAAAUUGCCACCACGUGGGAGCCCACGUAUCGAUCCAUCAUUGUUCCCCCUGUUGCUAGGAUGUGGUCUAGAUUAAAAGACAGUUGUCGCCUUGGAGAAAACCUCCCCGAGCAAAGCCGCAGUGCUCCCCCUGCUGACCAAGAAGCCUAGACGAUUGCUUCUUUGUCUCUCAUUGUUUUGCUCCUUUUC